GGAAUAUAAAAAAUCGUCUUUUAACUUUUAACUAAAAAAGCUAAGAACCGACUCUUGAAUAAGAUAUUUAAGAGUCGGUUCUUAGUUUUUUUUGUUAAAAGUUAAGAUACAGUUUUUUAUAUUCC
This is a microRNA precursor of Brassica oleracea var. oleracea, 125 nucleotides long. It matches the Rfam family "MIR9563 microRNA precursor family". The record is from Rfam. NCBI's taxonomy places the organism in Eukaryota, Viridiplantae, Streptophyta, Magnoliopsida, Brassicales, Brassicaceae.